Long non-coding RNA from Lytechinus variegatus (green sea urchin), 3783 nucleotides. RefSeq lists it as uncharacterized. The transcript is spliced from 2 exons. The record is from RefSeq and is a predicted model, not a curated record. NCBI's taxonomy places the organism in Eukaryota, Metazoa, Echinodermata, Echinoidea, Temnopleuroida, Toxopneustidae.
GAAAGGCGAGUCAGAACCACUAGACCAUGGCGUGCACACACAAACUCACACAAACUUAUCCCAUGACAAACUCAGAGCAGACACAAUAUACAUGAAAAAAUAGAGUAAUAUUUAUUCUAAAAUUCAUUCCCAUGUGUAUAAAAGUUCCACAAUAAUUACAUUCAGUAUUCACAAGUCAUUAUUAUUGGAACAUUUGUAUUUACAAUCAAAGCUGCUUUAGAGAUCAUCUGUCUACAAUAUCUUAUUGACUCUAUAAGAUUGAAAUUCAAAUUCAACUUCAUUACUACAAUUUAAAAAUAUAUAAAUAUACAAAAUAAUUUACAUUAAAUAGGGAUUAUACUUGUGGAGGGGUCACAUUGAGCAUAAUUGCUUCUGUAAAUUGAAUCCAUAAUAAAUAUCAAAUCAAUACGUGUAAAAAAUUUACACCAAAGGUAACAAUAUGAACAUACAAACUGAAAGACGACAUAUUUUUAUCAUUUGUAUUUUAUGGUUUAUUAUUGAGCUACACAGCUGAAACCCCUGCUGGUGAUAUACUUAUUUCUUUUAUUCUUUUUUACUAUAUCCCUUUCUCCAUUUUGGUUUACUAGUGCUUGAAAAAAUACAGGGGAGCUACCCUUUGAAGCACCGUCCUUGAUAAUAAGUGUGUAUCCUUGAAUAUCAUUGAAACAUGUAUUACAAGACCCUGUUCAUAUAAAGACUAUCCCAUUACAAAGACUACUUCUCUAUAUUGUUUGAUAUCUAUAUACAGGUUUUACUGUACCAUGAUACUGUAUAUCAUUGAAACAUGUAUUACAAGACCCUGUUCAUAUAAAGACUAUCCCAUUACAAAGACUACUUCUCUCUAUUGUUUGAUAUCUAUAUACAGGUUUUACUGUACCAUGAUACUGUAUAUCAUUGAAACAUGUAUUACAAGACCCUGUUCAUAUAAAGACUAUCCUAUCAUAAAGACUACUUCUCUCUAUUGUUUGAUAUCUAUAUACAGGUUUUACUGUACCAUGAUACUGUAUAUCAUUGAAACAUGUAUUACAAGACCCUGUUCAUAUAAAGACUAUCCCAUUACAAAGACUACUUCUCUCUAUUGUUUGAUAUCUAUAUACAGGUUUUACUGUACCAUGAUACUGUAUAUCAUUGAAACAUGUAUUACAAGACCCUGUUCAUAUAAAGACUAUCCUAUUAUAAAGACUACUUCUCUCUAUUGUUUGAUAUCUAUAUACAGGUUUUACUGUACCAUGAUACUAUGUAUAAUAUUAAUUUAUAUCAUUAGCAAUAUGAAUGACAUAUUACAUGUUUUAAGGUUUUAAUGAUUCAUGCAAUUAAAACCAUUAACUCUUCUAUUUGCAUUUAGAAUGCAUUAUAAGUAACUCACAAUAAUCUGACAGAAGUAGUCCUUUCUACUCAUUAAUCAACUUCUACAGUGAAAAUCAAAACAAGUCUACACUUAGAAAUAAUGCUGUAAAAUUUGUAAUAUUCUGAGGCUUUUUCCACAUUUAAACAUCAAUGUACAGAGCAAAUGACAAUAUAACUAUCAAACAAUUGUUCCACUUGAGUGAGCACGACUCGCUUUUGAAAAAUUGGUGAAAAAUUAUUUGCGCAGAUUUGGAAAUAGUUAUAUGAAUAAAACGUCGACUUCAAUCAUGAAAAACACACAUACUUUAGCUAGGAAGAUCGAUUUGGAGAUAUCUCUUACAUUUUUAGCUUGUUUCCUUGCCCAAAUACCUUCAUAGAGCGCCAUUACGUACCACUUCACAAUAAUCUGACAGAAGAAAUCAUUUCUUCUCAUUAAUCAACUUCUCAAUUAAAUGGGAUUUGGGCAUUUUUGAUACACCAAUUUGACAAAAGUCAAUAACUACAAAUUCUACUACAUGUAUGAACACAUAAUUAGUAAUACCACUGUGUCCAAAAUACAGGCGUACCACUUCACAAUAAUCUGACAGAAGUAAUCCUUUCUACUCAUUAAUCAACUUCUCAAUCAACUGGGAUUUGGGCAAUAACUAGUCAUUUGAUAUACAAAUUCUACUACAUGUAUGAACACAUAAUUAGUAAUACCACUGUGUCCAAAAUACAGGCGUACCAAUUUACAAUAAUCUGAAAGGAGCCAUCCUUUUACUCAAUUACCCUAAGACCAAACAGUUUAAAUUUUGAUUCAUAUUCAAGACGUAACAUAUUGGGGAUUUUCUGAAUCACAAAUUUGACAUAAGUCAAUAACUAGUCAUUUUGAUACACAACAUUUCAAAUUACCAUUAAAAUCCAACUAAACCAUACUGGCCUAUAAAGGAUGGAUGGAUACAAUAAAUUAUCUUACAUCUGAAGAAUGAGUAAUUCAUGAGAGAUGUGAUAAUAAAUGAACAUUUAAAGGCAUUUAACUUUCAAAGCAAAUGUCAUACAGGAAUGGAAAAAUAGUUCGAUAUAAACAGUAUAAAAUGCACCAAAUAAGAUUCCUGAAGUUAAUCAAAAAUUCAGCUGCCAUUUGUUUAUUAUAGACUAUAUUGUAUUCUAAACUUUACACCUCUAAUUUACAUUAUAUAUAAACAUGUAUCAUUUAUAACUCAAUACAUUAUUAAAAUUGGAAGACUUCACAUACACUGUGGACAUGAACUUGUAGCUUAAAAUAAUUCCACAUUGCUUUUUCUUACCAAAUAAUGUUGGCAUAAACUUUUAUAUCACUGGCGUAACGAGCGAAAAAUUUGAGGGUUAUAUACGAUAUGGCGUAUCGAUCAGGCAAAAUUUAAAAAAGUAUUUAGUAAGUUGCAACCGACAUGAGCUGAAUUUUGAUGUUUUAGACAUUUAGUUACAAAAAUCCAAUUGAACAAUUUCGCAAGAUUCUCUUUCCUUUUCCUCUUUUUUUUCUGAAUUGGGGGCAUGCAAGAACCCCCCCCCCCAUAAUUAAAAAGCACCACUCUUUGUUAUGCCACUGUCUAAAAUUGGAUUUAAACUUUUAGAAUUUUAAUCUCUUAUCUAAUUAAUCUACAGGAAUAAGAGUAAGACAAAAAAAUAGUUGCAGAUUACUUAUUUCAAAGUAUUAUUACUUAACUCCCCAACUCUGCUCUUGCUGCACUGCACGUAACGGCCUUCCACCAAAGGGCCAGGCCGACUCGCCCCGUGAGCAAGUGACCGCGUUCGCGUAAGUUCACCCGAAGCCAUGACUAAAUUCUGACCAUAAACAUCACCUAACUAAUCACUCUCUGACAAUAUUUUAAAGUGUAUUUUAUUACAGUCGAUCCUUUGGGCCAUCAAACGAUAAUAUUUCCAAUGUUAUCAUAACAAAUAAUUUUAAUGAGAUAGUGGCAUUGUAGAAAAAACAAAUUUAUAAUCACGAAAUGGCACCAGAUAUAUCAUCAAACACACAGCGCAGCGUUCGGGACUGGUGAGUGGGACGGCUCGCUUGGUGUUUUUGCCCCGACGAAUUCGGCGAAAACGUUACCAUUGCGCCGUGUGAACGUUCAAUCUGCGGCUCUCAAUCAGAGACUUGAAUGUCUCUUUUUGCAUUAUCGAAAAUGAAGACUUUGUUUGAUUUAUUUACAAGUAAGUUGCAUAUCCGUCGUGAUAAUUAGGAAAAUCCAUGAUGUCUUCUAAUUCUGUAAAAAUUACGUCUUUAAAAUGCCUGUGUCAGAAAAUUGCCGGAAAUCAUAAAAACUUGCCUAAAAUAUCUCUUUUUGAAAGUUCAUCGUUCAAAGUUCAUGGAAAAAAAUGUCAUAUCCAUCCUCGAUCACUGAAAUAAAGUGUUUGCUAAGCUUUUUUAAUUCAGACCAUGUUACCAUGACAUCUUGGGAAAACCCUUAAUUU